Molecule: small nucleolar RNA, 93 nt
Filed under: Oryza punctata
Lineage: Eukaryota; Viridiplantae; Streptophyta; Magnoliopsida; Poales; Poaceae
Description: snoRNA snoZ256
Rfam family: Small nucleolar RNA Z256
About the family: Z256 is a member of the C/D class of snoRNA which contain the C (UGAUGA) and D (CUGA) box motifs. Most of the members of the box C/D family function in directing site-specific 2'-O-methylation of substrate RNAs.
Source: Rfam by way of RNAcentral
ACCUACCGAUCAUGUUGACUUCGGCAACCUGGGCUUGGUUUACUAGCCUCCCCGAGAACACCAUCGACAGUUGGGCCAAGUUGAAGGCUAUAU